Long non-coding RNA from Marmota monax (woodchuck), 2992 nucleotides. RefSeq lists it as uncharacterized. The record is from RefSeq and is a predicted model, not a curated record. NCBI's taxonomy places the organism in Eukaryota, Metazoa, Chordata, Mammalia, Rodentia, Sciuridae. The transcript is spliced from 4 exons.
AAAAAAAAAAAAAAAAAAUGCCACAGAGCUAGGAUUCUUCAGCGAGGGCAGAGGGGUGUGGGCAACCGGGCAGCAAAUGCUGAGCCCAGACACGGAGAGCCCCCGCAGCUUCCAGUCGAUGCGCUGGAAAAGCAGUGUUUGCCUCGCUCAUUACAUGCCCUCUCCCUUUUAAUAAGUAUUUCCGAAGGCAGAACACAGCUGAUCAGAGCGGCAGAGUGGGGGUUCAGGGGAUGGGGAACCGGGGCUGGCGGCGGAAAAACCUAAACCCAGUUCCUGAAGUGAAGGUUACUUAUGACACCAAAUAAAAUCCAUUUCUAUCGGUGAAGACAUGCAAUUACUCAUGGGAUCAACUUUUUGGCGGCAUUUGUGAAGUGCCAAGGAGUGGGGAAGGGGACAGAGGACUAACGCUUUUCGGAGCUCAGAGCCCCGGAGCUGAGACCAGAAGGCAGCCCGCCCCAGGUAGCGGAAGGCAGACAAACCUGGUUUGAACCUUGUACUUUCCUGGGAGGCAAAUAGAAGAAGAGUAGAAAACAGAAGGGAGGAAGCAAAACAAAACGCCGCGAUCCUAUCUAAAUUCAUUCCUGGCCACGCCCCAUUCCUGGGCGGGGCGAGCUGGGCUCCGACCGUCCCCUCGGAGGCUGGAGGAAGAUGUGAAGAAACUUGGCGCCCCCACCUCACACCCAUCCCAGAAGGAGCGGGAGGGCUGCGAGAGGGAUGUGGGCACCGGCACGUUUGGAGAAAACAAAUCACCGGCAUCAUCAUGAGUGAUCCACUGUGGAGGACAGCUAAACACAUCAAUUUCCAAAAUAUUGAGAUUCAAGGCUUCUGCACACAAUGGAUCACCUCUACCUGAAGGGGCCAUGCACUCUCUUCCCAAGUUCAGUUACUGCAACUCCUUCAUUCCUUUUACCCUGCUUGCGUCUGCGCUGGUUGCUGGGUUCCUUCCCAACUCCCUCUUCAUGGACUUCGCGAUGCCAGUGUGAAAUUGGCCGUGGACAAGAGCACCCCAGAAAUAAUUGGUAGCUGGACUUUUUCCCCUUGAGAGUUGAUUCUUGGGCUGGGGAUAUGGCUCAAGCGGUAAUGCGCUCGCCUGGCAUUCGUGGGGCACUGGGUUUGAUCCUCAGCACCACAUAAAAAUAAAGAUGUUGUGUCCACCGAAAACUAAUAAAUAAAUAUUUUAAAAAAAGAGAGUUGAUUCUUAAACAGUUUUAGCAUAUUACCAUUUUAUCCAUCUCCCUCUUCUCUCUCUCUUUAUUUUUUCAGUGCUGAAGAUUGAACCCAGGCCCUCAUGCAUGCUAGGCAAGCAGUCGACCACUGAGCCACUCUCCUCCUCUUUUCUCUCUUUUUAAUCAACCUUUUCUCUUUAUAUGUACAGGAAGUAGGUGUGUACACUUACUUUUUUUUUUCUGAACUGAUUGAGAGUAGGUGACAUAUAUGUCUCUUUAUCCUUAAAUAUUUCUAUGUGCAUUUCUAAAAAAAAAAAACAAGGUCAUUCACUUACAUAACAACCACAGUAUGUUUAUCCAAAUCAGAAAAUUAGCAAGGCUACCGUUCUAUUGUUUGAUGUACAGACAUUUUUCAAAUGCCUCCAACUAUCCUACUAAAGUCCUUUAUAGUAAAAGAAGAAACUUUCUCUGGUCCAGUGCCCAGUGCAAGCCUACAUAUUGUAUUUAGUUGCCAUGUCUCUUCAAUAUCCUUUAGUCUAGUAUUAUUCAGUCUUUCCUUGUCGUUCAUGACCUUGAAAUUUCUUUAGGGGACAGACCACUGAUUUUGAGGAAUAUACUUCAGGUGGGUCUGUCUGGUGUUCCUGCUUGGUUAGAUUCAGGUCCUGUAGAUUUGGAGGUCAGGGAUAGCACACAGAUGCUGUCGUGGCCAUCUCAGGGCAUCCCAUGGAGGGACACAUUAUUGUCCCAUUACUGGUAUGAACUUGGAUCACUCCAUGUUUGCUACUUUUCUCAGAAUCCAGAUUUGAUUUUCCUCACUUUGUCAUCAGCAGAUUUCUUUGGGGAGAUAUUUCGAGAUAUGAAAAUGUCUUGUUUCCUAUCACCCAUUACAUGUUGAAUAUCCCUUAUCCAAAAUGCUUGGGACCAGAAGUGUUUUAAAUUUGGGAGUUUUAAGAAUUUUGGAAUAUUCAUAUUGACUUUACUGACUGAACAUCUCUAAUCUGAAAAUCCAAAAUCUGACAUGCUUCAAAAUUCAAAGUUUUUUGAACACUGACAUAACACUCAAAAAGUUCAGGUCUUGGGUAGAACAUUUCAGAUACUGGACUUUCAGAUUAGGAAUGCUCAACCUGUAGUUGCAGCCUCCAUUGAUGAAUUUUGCCUGAAAUGGUUAAUAUUAUGGUGAUAGUCAAGCAAUUAUUUUAUUUAUUUUUGGUACUGGGGAUUGAACCCAGGGACAGUUAACCUCUCAGUCACUUCCCCACCCCCUUUUUUAAUUUUUAUUUUUUUGUAGUGGUACAUGAACAGCAUGCCUUUAUUUUAUUUGUUUCAUUUUUAUGUGGUGCUAAGGAUCGAACCCAGUACCUCACACAUGCUAGGCAAGUGCUCUGCCUUUGAGCUACGGCCCCAGCACCCCCAGCCCUUUUUAUAUUUUAUUUUAUUUUAAUAUUUUUAGUUGUAGAUAGACACAAUACCUUUAUUUAUUUAUUUUUUAUGUGGUACUGAGGAUCGAACCCAGGGCCUCACACAUGCAAGGCAAGUGCUCUACCACUGAGCCACAACCCCAGCCUCUUAUAUUUUAUUUUGAGACAGGGUCUUAACUAAAUUGCUUAGGGCCUUGCUGAAUUGCUGAGGGUGGCUUUGAACUUGUGAUCCUCCUGCCUCAGCCUCCUGAACUGCUAGGAUUACAGGCGCGCACCACUGUGCCCAGCCUUAAAUGAUGAGUUGAAAUUUUUGGGUUUUUUAAUUAAAUUUAUUUAUUUAUUCUAAUUUGUUAUAUAUGACAGCAAAGUGUAAAAAUUCUGUUAUUAUUUCUGCAUUCUACAUUAAAG